AUUGAACGCUGGCGGCAUGCCUUACACAUGCAAGUCGAACGGUAACAGGUCUUCGGAUGCUGACGAGUGGCGAACGGGUGAGUAAUACAUCGGAACGUGCCCGAUCGUGGGGGAUAACGCAGCGAAAGCUGUGCUAAUACCGCAUACGAUCUACGGAUGAAAGCGGGGGAUCGCAAGACCUCGCGCGGACGGAGCGGCCGAUGGCAGAUUAGGUAGUUGGUGGGAUAAAAGCUUACCAAGCCGACGAUCUGUAGCUGGUCUGAGAGGACGACCAGCCACACUGGGACUGAGACACGGCCCAGACUCCUACGGGAGGCAGCAGUGGGGAAUUUUGGACAAUGGGCGCAAGCCUGAUCCAGCCAUGCCGCGUGCAGGAUGAAGGCCUCGGGUUGUAAACUGCUUUGUACGGACGAAAAGACUCUCUCUAUACAGGGGUGAAUGACGGUACCGUAAGAAUAAGCACCGGCUAACUACGUGCCAGCAGCCG
This 487-nucleotide ribosomal RNA is filed under the name uncultured bacterium. Its description in RNAcentral is "bacterial SSU rRNA". It matches the Rfam family "Bacterial small subunit ribosomal RNA", at positions 30 to 517 of the family's 1533-position model. The record is from RNAcentral.